UUGAACGCUGGCGGCAUGCCUUACACAUGCAAGUCGAACGGUAGAGGGGGCGACCCUUGAGAGUGGCGAACGGGUGAGUAAUGCAUCGGAACGUGCCCAGUCGUGGGGGAUAACGCAGCGAAAGCUGUGCUAAUACCGCAUGUGAUCUGUGGAUGAAAGCAGGGGACCGCAAGGCCUUGUGCGAUUGGAGCGGCCGAUGUCAGAUUAGCUAGUUGGUAGGGUAAAAGCCUACCAAGGCGACGAUCUGUAGCUG
This 253-nucleotide ribosomal RNA is filed under the name uncultured bacterium. Its description in RNAcentral is "partial 16S ribosomal RNA". It matches the Rfam family "Bacterial small subunit ribosomal RNA", at positions 30 to 289 of the family's 1533-position model. The record is from RNAcentral.